Molecule: ribosomal RNA, 253 nt
Filed under: uncultured bacterium
Lineage: Bacteria
Description: partial 16S ribosomal RNA
Rfam family: Bacterial small subunit ribosomal RNA
Source: RNAcentral
UACGUAGGGUCCAAGCGUUGUCCGGAAUUAUUGGGCGUAAAGAGCGCGCAGGCGGCUUGGUAAGUCGGAUGUGAAAUCCCGAGGCUCAACCUCGGGUCUGCAUCCGAUACUGCCCGGCUAGAGGUAGGUAGGGGAGAUCGGAAUUCCUGGUGUAGCGGUGAAAUGCGCAGAUAUCAGGAGGAACACCGGUGGCGAAGGCGGAUCUCUGGGCCUUACCUGACGCUCAGGCGCGAAAGCUAGGGGAGCGAACUGG